AUUGAACGCUGGCGGCAGGCCUAACACAUGCAAGUCGAACGAGUGGCGGACGGGUGAGUAAUAUCUGGGAAACUGCCUAAUGGAGGGGGAUAACUACUGGAAACGGUAGCUAAUACCGCAUACCAUCAGAUGUGCCCAUAUGGGAUUAGCUUGUUGGUGGGGUAACGGCUCACCAAGGCGACGAUCCGUAGCUGGUCUGAGAGGAUGACCAGCCACACUGGAACUGAUACACGGUCCAGACUCCUACGGGAGGCAGCAGUGGGGAAUAGUGGACAAUGGGCGAAACCCUGAUGCAGCCAUGCCGCGUGUAUGAAGAAGGCCUUCGGGUUGUAAAGUACUUUCGGCGGGGAAGCGUUACCCGCAGAAGAAGCACCGGCUAACUCCGUGCCAGCAGCCGCGGUAAUUC
This 406-nucleotide ribosomal RNA is filed under the name uncultured bacterium. Its description in RNAcentral is "partial 16S ribosomal RNA". It matches the Rfam family "Bacterial small subunit ribosomal RNA", at positions 30 to 526 of the family's 1533-position model. The record is from RNAcentral.